ACUCUCACGAGAACAGCAUGUGGGAAACCAGGGAAACUGUCCCCAUGAUCCAGUGACCUCCCACCAGGUCCCUCCCUUGACACAACAGAGAUUACAAUUUGAGAUGAGAUUUGGAUGGAGACACAGAGCCAAACCAUAUUAAGCCUGUUCUGCUGGGACACAGAAUCACUUGCUCCAUCUCAUACAUUGAUGAUGAUUAAUUUGUAUGUGUACCUUCCAAAAAAGAUGGUUGUGUUUGAAUGGAGGCCUUCUGGACAGGAAAAUAAUCACAUCCUUCCUGAGAUAAUGAGCACACAAUUGCCUGGAUACCUGAAGGAAUGGAGACAGCGGCAGAAAACACUGCAGAGAGGUGGAAACAUCCGUUAAUAUUUUAAAAUCCCAUUACUGCUACCAACAAUAAUAAUGGAUGCAUAGAAAUAGAUCUGGAUUAGCUGAGCUUGAAACAGUCCAUCUCACACACACACAAAAGAAUUUCAGAUACAGUGAACCCACAUGUUGAAGCUUUCUAGUAUAAUAAAAAUUUCAACUGUUCUGUUGAAUCAUCUGCCUGAUUGGAGGCUACAGAAAAGAUGUCAUCUUAGGAGUGCUUGCUCUGAGUGAGGCUCAUCUUCAAAUCUGAAUGACCACAAGGAGAUUUGAUUAUACAUGUGAACACCUCAGAAGGCACAGCCCACCCAGAAGGCAGACAGGUCAGGCUGCUUUUUCUUCAUUGCUUGGAUUCAAUCCUCCGGGCGGCUCAGGCUCAAACAUAACUUAAGCAUGAUUAAACUUUAGAAGAAGCUGCCAGGAAGACUGUGAAAUCUUCAUGCCCAAGGAUCCCUAAAAUUAGGAGCAACAACCACUUGGCUCAGACGGUUUAUGGAGGCAAAGGUUUGGAUGGGAUUAGAGAUUUCUAAAUGUGAGUUCGUGUCCUCUGCCAGACCACCUUACUUCCACCAUUCCUCAGCAAAUCAAGAAAAACAGGAGAAAAGACAUGCCUUUCCAUAAGUUAAAUCUAUUCUGUUUUAAUUCUAUAUUAUAUCUGCUGUACAACUUCUUUUGUUUGUAACACCAUAUUGUUGCUAGUAACUGGAAAUUAAUUUUCACAUGCCUCAGCUUAGAAAAAUAAAAAGCAGCCCUGCAUCAAUCCCAA
RNAcentral lists this long non-coding RNA (1132 nucleotides) under Homo sapiens (human). Its description in RNAcentral is "long intergenic non-protein coding RNA 635". Lineage: Eukaryota; Metazoa; Chordata; Mammalia; Primates; Hominidae. The record is from RNAcentral.